Dictyocaulus viviparus (bovine lungworm) is the source of this 72-nucleotide non-coding RNA. NCBI's taxonomy places the organism in Eukaryota, Metazoa, Nematoda, Chromadorea, Rhabditida, Metastrongylidae. The record is from the annotation of a GenBank genome assembly.
ACAUUUAGUGGUUUAGUGGCAGAAUGCUUGAUUGCCACGUAGGCGAUCCGGGUACGAUUCCUGACUAGUGUA